GACAGAGGGUGCGAACGUUGUUCGGAAUUACUGGGCGUAAAGCGCGUGUAGGCGGCAGCGUGUGUCGGGCGUGAAAUCCCACGGCUCAACCGUGGAAGUGCACUCGAAACUGCGCAGCUAGAGUCCUGGAGAGGAAGGUGGAAUGCUUGGUGUAGAGGUGAAAUUCGUAGAUAUCAAGCGGAACACCGGUGGCGAAGGCGACCUUCUGGACAGUGACUGACGCUGAGACGCGAAAGCGUGGGGAGCAAACGGG
Molecule: ribosomal RNA, 253 nt
Filed under: uncultured bacterium
Lineage: Bacteria
Description: partial 16S ribosomal RNA
Rfam family: Bacterial small subunit ribosomal RNA
Source: RNAcentral